This 441-nucleotide ribosomal RNA is filed under the name uncultured bacterium. Its description in RNAcentral is "partial 16S ribosomal RNA". It matches the Rfam family "Bacterial small subunit ribosomal RNA", at positions 338 to 795 of the family's 1533-position model. The record is from RNAcentral.
CCUACGGGGCGCAGCAGUGGGGGAUAUUUCACAAUGGGGGGAACCCCGAUGCAGCGACGCCGCGUGGGUGAAGGAGCGUUUCGGCGCGUAAAGCCCUAUCGGCAGGGAAGAAGGAGGACGGUACCUGACUAAGAAGCCCCGGCUAACUACGUGCCAGCAGCCGCGGUAAUACGUAGGGGGCAAGCGUUAUCCGGAUUUACUGGGUGUAAAGGGGGCGCAGACGGCAGCGUAAGCCAGGUGUGAAAGCCCGGAGCCCAACCACGGGACUGCUUUUGGAACUGCGCGGCUGGAGUGCAGGAGGGGCAGGCGGAAUUCCUGGUGUAGCGGUAAAAUGCGUAGAGAUCAGGAGGAAUACUGGUGGCGAAGGCGGCCUGCUGGACUGCUACUGACGUUGAGGCCCGAAAGCGUGGGGAGCAAACAGGAUUAGAUACCCCAGUAGUC